Molecule: long non-coding RNA, 857 nt
Organism: Malaya genurostris
Lineage: Eukaryota; Metazoa; Arthropoda; Insecta; Diptera; Culicidae
Exons: 2
Source: RefSeq, a predicted model, not a curated record
UGCGUAUAGUUCUAAAGAUAUUCAGCACUUCCACACAAAAAAAUAAGAAGAAGAAAUAAUGUUGGUAAUGAUGGAAAAUCCGGAAUUCCAUCAUUACUCGUGUCAUUACUGAACUCGUAGACCUUACACGAUCAUUAAAAGUGCCAUUACUUUUUAGUAAUGACACUUUUAAUGAUCGUGUAAGGGCCGCUAAUGUGCCAAUCACAUUUGGUGGUGGUACGAUCAGUUGGGCGGCAAGGAAGCAAACGUGUGUCGCUUUAUCAUCAAAGCCUUGGGAUUACAUUUCUGUAGUGGAAUUUGACCUUCUGUUUCAACAGACUUCGCAGCCGAUUCAGAGUGUCGGGGCUCGAACAUACGACAACUGGUUUGUAAGACCAGCGCCCUAUGCAUUGAACCGCCAACCCGGGCGCUUUAUCAUCAACUGAGGCCGAAUUUGUUGCUGCUGCUGAAGUUGGUCAGGCACUACUUUGGAUGCGGAAGCUUAUGACAGAUUUGUGUGAACCAAUUAGUAACAUCGUAUUGUACGAAGACAACCAAAGCACUAUCCGUCAACUGGAAGCAGAAAGGUUAAAGCGACGAGCAAAACAUGUUGAUACCAAGUUCCAGUUUACAAAGGACCUGACCUCGUCCUACAAGGCGUUUUGUCGGUAGUUUAUUGUCCAUCAGAAGACAUGGUAGUUUAUUGUGCAUCAGAAGAAAAAUUAUCCAAACAUCGAACUUAGGUGAUAGAGCGGCAAAAUUUAUUUGUCUAAAAAUAAGUGCUCUUGAAAAAUGAACAAAACGAUUUCUUUAAAAAAAGAAAGAGUGUCAAUUUUAUUCAAAUCAAACGUAUGUACAAUAAACAAACCUCAAUAUAA